This 468-nucleotide ribosomal RNA is filed under the name uncultured bacterium. Its description in RNAcentral is "partial 16S ribosomal RNA". It matches the Rfam family "Bacterial small subunit ribosomal RNA", at positions 28 to 507 of the family's 1533-position model. The record is from RNAcentral.
GACGAACGCUGGCGGCGUGCUUAACACAUGCAAGUCGAACGGAAAGGCCCUGCUUUUGUGGGGUGCUCGAGUGGCGAACGGUUGAGUAACACGUGAGUAACCUGCCCUUGACUUUGGGAUAACUUCAGGAAACUGGGGCUAAUACCGGAUAGGAGCUCCUGCUGCAUGGUGGGGGUUGGAAAGUUUCGGCGGUUGGGGAUGGACUCGCGGCUUAUCAGCUUGUUGGUGGGGUAGUGGCUUACCAAGGCUUUGACGGGUAGCCGGCCUGAGAGGGUGACCGGCCACAUUGGGACUGAGAUACGGCCCAGACUCAUACGGGAGGAAGCAGUGGGGAAUAUUGCACAAUGGGCGGAAGCCUGAUGCAGCAACGCCGCGUGCGGGAUGACGGCCUUCGGGUUGUAAACCGCGUUCGCCUGUGACGAAGCGUGAGUGACGGUAAUGGGUAAAGAAGCACCGGCUAACUACGUG